Molecule: long non-coding RNA, 2253 nt
Filed under: Gadus morhua (Atlantic cod)
Lineage: Eukaryota; Metazoa; Chordata; Actinopteri; Gadiformes; Gadidae
Description: lncRNA (ENSGMOG00000005695.2)
Source: RNAcentral
AUGUCAUUAAACGAAGAAUCUUUGGCCUCAGACCUGUUGGAUAACAACCUGCCAAAUAUACAGGAAGAAUCUUCUCAAAGAGAUUGUAAUGCCAACGAAGUGGAUGAUAUUCCAGGCCCACUCAUUGAUGCCAAUUCCUCGACAGAGAGCCAGUCUAAUUCAUUGAAAGCUUACGGUACAAAACUACCUGAGGGCAGAACUGUACCAAAAACUACUCAGGCUGAGGAAAACAAGUCAGUUCAGGAUGAGUCAUCCAAGUCAGUUCAGGCUGAGUCAUCCAAGUCAGUUCAGGCUGAGUCAUCCAAGUCAGUUCAGGAUGAGUCAUCCAAGUCAGUUCAGGAUGAGUCAUCCAAGUCAGUUCAGGAUGAGUCAUCCAAGUCAGUUCAAGCUGAGUCAUCGAAGUCUAUUCCGGAUGAGGCAUCCAAGUCAGCUCAGGAUGAGUCAUCCAAGUCAGCUCAGGAUGAGCCACAAGAAAACCCUGAUGAUAUCGAAAGGACCGGGGAAAAUCCAGAAUCUGCGGAGGACGUUGAACUUCCUCCAAAAAGGAUUAAGUCAUCCAAGCCUGUUCAGGAUGAAUCCUCUAAGUCUGUUGAGGAUCAGUCAUCCAAGCUAGCUCAGGCUAAGGCACCUAUGUCUGUUCAGGAUGAGGCAUCCAAGUCGGGUGAAGUUGGGUCAUCUAAGUCAGCUCAGGUAGACUCAAUUUCUUCCACCAAUUCGGGAGAGGAUACGAAACCCCAAGAAGGUAAAGGGACAAAAUCCACCAAUCAGAAGAACCUUGGGGAGAAGACCAAGAAAGAUAAUGCCAAAAAGAAGGAUAAUAAAGGGGAUCAGAAACUAUCCAUGGAUGAAAAUGCGAAUGAUACUCAUCAAUCCAAGGAGCAGGUGAAAGGUGGUCAACAAGACCAAAAAGGAAAGCAAAAACCAACUGGUAAACAAGGCCCGGCCGCGGAAAAGAAAGCUGGUUUGAGCGUGGAUGCAGAGGCUGAGGUUGAAGUUGCGAGGAAUCAGCAGUCAGCUGCUGCGGAAGAAGACGUACCAGAAAAACCGGAUGAUGUCGAAAACACCGGGGACAAUCAAGAAUCUGAGGACCGCGUUGAACCUCCUCCAAAAAGGUGAACCAGAGUAAAGUCGUUGUCGUAGAAAAAUGUAUAAUUAUUAGAAAAUUCAAAAAUCCUAUCCGUCACUAAUUUAUUCACAUUUGUCUUUUUACACUAAUAGGAUAAACAAUGUUAACACGACAGUUGCUGCAAGGGACAGGCUCACAAUCUACUUUCAUGCGGUUUUGUCAAAGGAUUUCAAACUUGAAGAGGAAGACCGAAUCAUUAUCAGAGCUGGCGACCAUAUUGGGACAUGGAAAGAUAACUUGGCUGAGGUCUUUAUGUCUAAGUAAGCACAUAUGGUUUACUUACUGCUCCUGUAUCUAUGAUAAUAGCCUUUAUUUAUCAGUGUUUUACAAAGUAAAGUACAGUGUACAAAUACGGUACCAUAUUUCUGCUUAUUCUUUUGUGUGCUAUGUUUUGUCAAUACUGUUUUUUUUGUAUACAGGGAUCUUGGAGACCAUGGAUAUUUAGUUGAGGGAAGAUUUGAAACAACAAAAGAACGCACCUUGUCCAAAAGCAUACCAUACAAAUAUGUUGUCUACAAGGCCAAAAAGGAGAAAUAUGAGUAUGAAUACAUUUACAAAUUGGAUUCAGAGCAACCUACGAAUCGAUGCUUGUUUGUGAAGUCCGGACUCCUCAAUGAGGAAGGUAAGAGAUGCAACAAUUCUCUGUUCAUUUGCUAAAAUAUUGGGCCUUUUUUAACUUUGUCAAAUUUAUUUUUUAUGUGAAAGGGGACUGGCAUCAGUAUGAUGACAUCAUCUGUACAGCACCAUCCAAGGAUAUAUUCAAACGCUUGAAAAACGCUUUUCGGUCUGAGCAAAGGAAAAGUGUCGUUGAAGGCAAAGAGAUUGCAGGGAACAUCAUGCUAGACACCAUAUUCGACCUCCUUCGGAAUUGGACCGACAUCAACUUGAAGAAUUUCCUCAUCCAAUUGAAACAGUUCUUUGACAUUUAUGCAAAUCCGUUUGUGUAUGAAGACACGCACAAGAGGUGGAACUCUCUAGAAUAUGGAGAAAAAGAAGUAUGGAAAUUACUUCAGAUUUAUUAUAUAAUUAAAAAGCUAUCAAGGAUUAUUUGUGAUAUAAUUAUUUAAUGAAAAGAGCCAUAUCAAAUUGUUUUCGAUUGAAAUAUCGAAGCAUCUUUUUCUAUUGAG